Molecule: long non-coding RNA, 314 nt
Organism: Tachyglossus aculeatus (Australian echidna)
Lineage: Eukaryota; Metazoa; Chordata; Mammalia; Monotremata; Tachyglossidae
Exons: 3
Source: RefSeq, a predicted model, not a curated record
AUUCUGUGUCUAAUGAUGGAAAGAAACUGCUUAGGAAGAUAGUGUGAUAUAUGCCAUCCUUGACGAUUAAUAAUGGUAAAACAAGCCCUCAUAAAAUACAGGGAUUUCUCUGGCAGAGCCCUGCAAUCAGUAAAUCACGUUGUCCUUAGGGGUGGUGUUUCCUGGAAGGGUAACUGCCUGUAGGGUAGACAGACUACAGAUCUUCAAGAAACAAAUGGUUUACAAUGGCUGCAACACUAUCAGCACCAGCAGGAGCAGUAGUAGUGACAUUGGAAGACAGUGAAGAUAUAAGGGACAUUGCUGGCAAUGAAUAC